UCACACAGGACAGUCGCCUUCAAAAAAAGACAAAUGUGUCUUCACAACAUUGUGAGCCGACGAGCGGUGAGCGCGGUCUUCCAAGUAGCGCCUGCACGGACAAUGGAUGUUCGUUCUGUCGUCGCAAUGCGAUAGAUAGUGUUUGUCUUUCCGAACGAAACUAACGACAAUGGCGCGAUAAACGUUCCAUAUUCUCUUCGCUGGUGCAGACGUCGCACAGAGCCGCUGUUGGGAGGGGGUGGGGUACUAAUCUUUUUCUGUGUUUUGCAGGCAUUUCAUUGUUGCAAAGGAGAUGGAAUGUGGUAAGUUGCCGCUGAUUGGCGCAUCAUGAAUGAAAACGUGCGUCUGGCAGAGAAAAGCAGACGCGACGAGGCUUCAGAAAAAGAAAUACAUGUUUGCGUGUCAUAACAAGUUCAUCCAAGACAUGCAUGUCGUCAUACCUAUCAGCAUCCAUCUGGACAGGAUUAUCACGGCGACGUGGGAAGCACUACGUCUUAAGUACCACACACUGAAGGCCUGAGGUAAACUCCCGAAAGUAGAUCUAUCGGAAGAUAGUACACAACAAAAACAAAAAGUAUAACGAAAUGAAAACGACCCUUCAGACUGGCGAGGCGCCUCAAGCCCCUGUAAAGCGUGCUUCACGCAUGGUAAACAGACGCCAGGUGAAGCCACAAGGUUCUCCGCAAAUUCAAUGCAAAGGGAUACUUUUCUUCUACCGAAAGGAGGACGGUAGGGCGGUCUAUGAAUUGGCACCGCUUUUGUGAAGGGUGAAAAUCAGCGAUAAAAAGGGAAAUGGUAGAUGGCGAUAGGACUGUGAGACGUAACUGCUCGUCCCAAAAAGCAACCAUGAGAAGUUUCAGUAAUAAUAAUAAUAAUAAUAAUAAUAAUAAUAAUAAUAAUAAUAAUAAUAAUAAUAAUUUAUUUUUCAUCAAUUGUACAUGAUGGCAGAAGCAGGCAAUAAAAGAAGCCGGUGACAUUUUA
This is a long non-coding RNA of Dermacentor andersoni, 981 nucleotides long. RefSeq lists it as uncharacterized. NCBI's taxonomy places the organism in Eukaryota, Metazoa, Arthropoda, Arachnida, Ixodida, Ixodidae. The record is from RefSeq and is a predicted model, not a curated record.